Lepisosteus oculatus (spotted gar) is the source of this 330-nucleotide non-coding RNA. The record is from RefSeq and is a predicted model, not a curated record. Lineage: Eukaryota; Metazoa; Chordata; Actinopteri; Semionotiformes; Lepisosteidae.
ACACUUAUAAACCUCCAUUAUAUCUCUAAACUGUCAGAUUUCAUUGAGUGGCACAUACUGUACUGUAGGUUCACCAAUCAGAACAGGAAAAUGCACAGCAAACGGCUGGCAUUGUUACAUUGAUACAAUUUUGUAUGAUGACCCUUUGUCUCUGCCUUCGGUCUGUGUUCUAAUUUGAAUUUGUUUCUUCAGGUCUUUCAACAAAUUCAAUCCUUCCUUGGCAGCUUCCCUGUAUUACGACAAAUUCAAGCUGUUCUUGAAAACUAUGGGGUAUUUCAACGAAUCCAAGGCUUCCUUGACAACUAUACAGUAUUUCAACUAAUUCAAUAC